This 56-nucleotide transfer RNA is filed under the name Eniclases similis. RNAcentral describes it as "partial tRNA-Ser". The record is from RNAcentral. Lineage: Eukaryota; Metazoa; Arthropoda; Insecta; Coleoptera; Lycidae.
AUAAACAUAUAAAUGCUUAAGUAAAAGUUAGAAGCUUUUUUUUUAAAUAUUUCUUU